Molecule: ribosomal RNA, 504 nt
Filed under: uncultured bacterium
Lineage: Bacteria
Description: bacterial SSU rRNA
Rfam family: Bacterial small subunit ribosomal RNA
Source: RNAcentral
AGUGAACGCUGGCGGCAGGCCUAAUACAUGCAAGUCGAACGGCAGCACAGCAGAGCUUGCUCUGUGGGUGGCGAGUGGCGGACGGGUGAGGAAUACGUGGGAAUCUGCCCAGUCGUGGGGGAUAACGUAGGGAAACUUACGCUAAUACCGCAUGCGCCCUUCGGGGAAAGCCGGGGACCUUCGGGCCUGGCGCGAUUGGAUGAGCCCACGUCGGAUUAGCUAGUUGGCGGGGUAAAGGCCCACCAAAGCGACGAUCCGUAGCUGGUCUGAGAGGAUGAUCAGCCACACUGGAACUGAGACACGGUCCAGACUCCUACGGGAGGCAGCAGUAGGGAAUAUUGGACAAUGGGCGCAAGCCUGAUCCAGCCAUGCCGCGUGAGUGAAGAUGGCCCUCGGGUUGUAAAGCUCUUUGUCCGGAAAGAAAGCGCCGGGUUAAUACCCUGGUGUCCUGACGGUACCGGAAGAAUAAGCACCGGCUAACUUCGUGCCAGCAGCCGCGGUAAU